CCCCGGGGAUAACAGGCUUUUCCCCCCCAAGAGUCCACAUCGACGGGGAGGUUUGGCACCUCGAUGUCGGCUCAUCGCAUCCUGGGGCUGUAGUCGGUCCCAAGGGUUGGGCUGUUCGCCCAUUAAAGCGGUACGCGAGCUGGGUUCAGAACGUCGUGAGACAGUUCGGGCCCUAGCCGUCGUGGGCGCAGGAAAUGUGAGAGGAGCUGUCCUUAGUACGAGAGGACCGGGAUGGACGCACCGCUGGUGUACCAGUUGUUCUGCCAAGGGCAUAGCUGGGUAGCUAUGUGCGGAAGGGAUAAGUGCUGAAAGCAUCUAAGCAUGAAGCCCCCCUCAAGAUGAGAUUUCCCAUAGCGUAAGCUAGUAAGAUCCCUGAAAGAUGAUCAGGUUGAUAGGUUCGAGGUGGAAGCAUGGUGACAUGUGGAGCUGACGAAUACUAAUAGAUCGAGGACUUAACCAUAUAA
RNAcentral lists this ribosomal RNA (464 nucleotides) under Bacillus mycoides. RNAcentral describes it as "bacterial LSU rRNA". It matches the Rfam family "Bacterial large subunit ribosomal RNA", at positions 2466 to 2925 of the family's 2925-position model. The record is from RNAcentral. Lineage: Bacteria; Bacillati; Bacillota; Bacilli; Caryophanales; Bacillaceae.